RNAcentral lists this ribosomal RNA (788 nucleotides) under uncultured bacterium. RNAcentral describes it as "bacterial SSU rRNA". It matches the Rfam family "Bacterial small subunit ribosomal RNA", at positions 8 to 796 of the family's 1533-position model. The record is from RNAcentral.
AGAGUUUGAUCCUGGCUCAGAGUUAACGCUGGCGGCGUGCCUAACACAUGCAAGUCGAGCGAAGAGUACCAGAGUACCGGGCUCUUAGCGGCAGACGGGUGAGUAACACGUAAACAAUCUGCCCUCGAAUGGGAGACAACCAAGCGAAAGUUUGGCUAAUACCCCAUACAAUCYUCUCCAGGCAUCUGGAGGGGAUGAAAGGCCCGCAAGGGUCGUUCGAGGAGGAGUUUGCGGCCUAUCAGCUAGUUGGCGGUGUAACAGACCACCAAGGCUAUGACGGGUAGCCGAUCUAAAAGGAUGACCGGCCACAAGGGCACUGAGACACGGGCCCUACUCCUACGGGAGGCAGCAGUGGGGAAUUUUGGACAAUGGACGAAAGUCUGAUCCAGCGACGCCGCGUGAAGGACGAAGGUUUUCGGAUCGUAAACUUCUUUUGCAGGGGACGAAUACGCGCAAGCGUUUGACGGUACUCUGCGAAUAAGCCACGGCUAACUACGUGCCAGCAGCCGCGGUAAUACGUAGGUGGCGAGCGUUACUCGGAAUUACUAGGCGUAAAGCGCGUGUAGGCGGGAGSUUAAGUUUGCUGUUAAAUCUCRURGCUCAACYAYGAAAUGCCGGCGAAUACUGGSCUUCUUGAAUUCGGUAGAGGWAACUGGAAUUCCAGGUGUAGCGGUGAAAUGCGUAGAUAUCUGGAAGAACGCCAAAGGCGAAGGCAGGUUWCUGGGCCGCAAUUGACGCUGAGACGCGAAAGCKAGGGGAGCAAACAGGAUUAGAUACCCUGGUAGUCC